RNAcentral lists this transfer RNA (61 nucleotides) under Nepiomorpha sp. NespEL. RNAcentral's name for it is "tRNA-Asp". Lineage: Eukaryota; Metazoa; Arthropoda; Insecta; Psocodea; Elipsocidae. The record is from RNAcentral.
AAAGAUUUAGUUAAAAAAUAACAUUAGAAUGUCAACCUAAAAUUACUUAAAGUAAUCUUUU